UACGGAGGAUGCAAGCGUUAUCCGGAAUUAUUGGGCGUAAAGCGUCCGCAGGUGGUUUUGAAAGUUUGCUGUCAAAGCGCGAGGCUCAACUUCGUAUCGGCGGUGAAAACUUCAAGACUAGAGCUAGGUAGGGGUCACGGGAAUUCCCAGUGUAGCGGUGAAAUGCGUAGAUAUCGAGAGGAACACCUGCGGCGAAGGCGGGUUGCUGGGCUGAUACUGACGCUGAUGCGCGAAAGCCAGGGGAGCGAACGGG
RNAcentral lists this ribosomal RNA (253 nucleotides) under uncultured bacterium. RNAcentral's name for it is "partial 16S ribosomal RNA". It matches the Rfam family "Bacterial small subunit ribosomal RNA", at positions 524 to 776 of the family's 1533-position model. The record is from RNAcentral.